GCAGAGUCACAUUCAGUAUCCUGUGACACUCUGCUGGUUGCUUUGACACUUCUUUGGAAGGCCCUCACUCCACUCCCUCUGACAGGCCUGGACCUCCACACAUGGCACAUGCUGUUGUUAGUUGUUGAGGUGGUUCUUUCUGUCUGGGAGAUCCUUCUCCAUCUUUUUUUUUUUUUUUUUUUGAAGAUUUUAUUUAUGUGAGAGAGAGAGAGAGAGAGCACAAGCGGUGGGAGGGGUAGAGAGAGAGAGGGAGAAGCAGGCCCCCAUUGAGCAAGGAGCCCAAUGCUGGGCUGGAUCCCAGGACCCCGGGACCAUGACCUGAAUCAAAGGCAAACUCUUAACUGACUGAGCCACCCAGGUACCCCCAGCCCUUCCACAUUCUGAAAAAGCUCUUCAUCCUCUAAGACUCUGUUCAAAUAUUGUCUCUUCUGUCCAGACUUUCUGAGCUCCCUUGGUCAGAAGCCAUACUAAUCCCAGCUGUGUUUUUUUCUCAUAGUUAGAAUCACCUAAUGGACGUUCUGAGCUUCAGAGUAAGACAGACCUGGAUUUAAAUUUGAGCUCAGCAUUUUACUAGCCCUGUGUUUCUUCAAAUAAGUCCUUCAUCUCUCCAAGUCUGAUAAUCUGCAUAAGUGAAAGAAAAAUAACCUCUUCUGUUAUUGGAGGUGUGAAUAUUAAAAGAAAUACUUUAGAUAAAGCUUAGAAUACAAUAUCUUAAUAUGUCACCACUCAGUAUGGUAAGUAUGUCACCACUUACCUAUCAUACUAGUACUAGUAUACUAGAUACUAGUACUAUCAUACUAGUAUCAUAACUAGUACUAUCAGUACUAGUUAGCAGGUCUCUUAACUAUGAAGAGUACUAUUACUCUGACCAAUAGUACCUGUACUUCUACUGCUAUCACCUUAGAAGUAAAAUAAUACAAACACAGCAAAGAGGAAAGUAGUGCUACUUGUCUAGCUUGGCUUUUAUUCACUGCCAUCUGCCAGCCACUAGAGCAGAUUCUUUAUAUGUGCCACCCAAUUUAAUUGUCCUAACUUCCCUGUGAGAUGAGUGCCAUUAUCUGACAUAUGAGGACACUGAGGUUCCCAGAAAGGAGGUAACUGGCCCAGGUUCCCACAGUUAGCCAGGGGCAGAGCCAGAAAGGAAAAUCUAGGUCUGCAUCACACUGAAGCUUGUGUGGAUAAUGACCAUGUUGCACAGCAGAAUCUGCAGGCUCUUAAUGUAUAUUUGCUAAAUGUCCAGAUUUUCCUAAACAGCAUCACCUACUCUAGUGCUUUCUUUGCCUCUUAAUUCCAGUACAAACCCUAACUCCAGUGUGAUCACAAUUCUGCAAAAAUUCCCCACUCUGAAAUGCCAUUCAGAAUCCCCACGAGUGCCCUCUAAGUGCACAGGAGAAUCUUUCUUUGUGAGCUCUUCUGAUUUUAGCUCUUCUCUGAAAGAGUGUGUCUCUUCAUCUUCCCUCGCCCCAGAAGUCUUUACAGUCUCUCUCUCUCUCUCUCUCAAAUUGAUUCUUCCUUAUAGUACCUGGAACUUUAAAUGAACAGCUUGAGCCCAGCCAGGCUAUUGCUGUUAAAUUGUGUCAUGCUUACUUAAUAUGUGUGGCACAUCCUCCCAGGAAGCCUGAAGUGCAAAGUGUUAUUAAUUUUCCCUCAGUGUUCCAGUUUUGUCACUGGCAUAGCUUUUCUUUCUUCCCAACUGUGAAAGGUACUGCAUUUCAAGUGCAAAGGCUGAGCAAAAAUGUGUGAGGGGGAUGGCACCAAAUGUCCUCUUUCCCCCAUUCUUGGACAAGUGCAUUCUUGCUGCCUCUUUUCCCUCCACCGAUGUGCCAAACCCACUGGAGCUCAUGUGAUACGGCAAACAGAAUACCCUGCUCUUGACCGGGGCCCUCGACCCCCUGGUUUCUUCACAGAUGUGUGCCAUGCAUUUUCUUGCAAUUCUUCUCCUUCCUGGCAGCUUGAAAUAGCUCUCCAAUCUCCAAAGAUUGCAAUUCAGUUUAAUUUCAGGUAGAUCCAAAAGUUGGGCAAGAACUUUUUCCCUUUCUGUAAAGUGGAUCCAUUUAGGGACUGACAAAUAGUUCAGCUGAAUUCUCAUAAAAAGUUUAAGAAUUUUGGGCAGGCUUCCAAAUAAAUGCAGGGGCUGGCUUAGUGGUAACUCUGAGAUGUUCCAAUUAAGAGCUUAUAUUUCCUGCUAAUAAUUUUUGUCUAUAAUUAAUACUCUCAUGAGUAAGGAUGCCUUUGAUAUUUUGUUUUUCUCUUCAGUAUGGAGUAGGGGUAGAUAGGGGGAGUAAUUUUUUUUUUAAUUUAAUUUUAUUUAUUUAGUUUUUUUUUAAUAAAUUUAUUUUUUAUUGGUGUUCAGUUUGCCAACAUAUAGAAUAACACCCAGUGCUCAUCCCAUCAAGUGCUCGAUAGGGGGAGUAAUUAAGAACCAUAAGGAGCAACAACAUAGAAAUAGCUAUAAAUGAAGUGAAGGUAGACUGGUAUUAAAAUAUUUGGGGAGGGAGUUAUAUAUUUACAAUGUAUAUAUAAUUGGUAUUAUAUAUUAUAUAUACUGAUGUUCUCUAAUAUAUAUAUAUAGUACUAAUUCUGGUUUUAUAUACAUAUAAUGUUGGGUAAUAUGUAUGCAAGACUCCUUUCCAUUUGUGCACUUUUCUAUUCAUCCUUUAAGAAAGACAUGGGUGGAAUAGCACCUCUCUGUACAGCUUCUCUAGUCCUCCCAAGCAAUCCUUCUCACUUCCUGCUUCCCUGCGCUUUCCACAGGCAGACGGCUGCUUCGGCUCUUUAGUUAGUAAUUAUCUGUUUACAGGUCUGUGGACUCCCAGAACUGUGUCUCCUUAAGGACAGGGAUUAUUAUGUUUUAUUCUUGUUUUCCCCAAUACAUUGUAGAUGCUCAGUAACCUCCUAUCAUAUCAACACAUACUUUCAUGAAGUUGUUUGAAUGUCAAUAGUGAUAUCAUUAUCAACAUUAAGCUGCAAUUGUUUAUAGUAUUGUCACACACUGUAGUGUAUCUCAGUUCCCCAAAAAAUGUUUGGCUUCAAAAAAGAAUAAAAUUUCAACAUAAAGCCUAAAUGUAUUUGGCCAAUCCAUCAUUUUAUUACUGAUCUGGAGCAGUAAAUAAAAUCUGUGAGACA
This 3126-nucleotide long non-coding RNA is filed under the name Canis lupus familiaris (dog). RNAcentral's name for it is "lncRNA (ENSCAFG00000051284.1, ENSCAFG00845029082.1)". Lineage: Eukaryota; Metazoa; Chordata; Mammalia; Carnivora; Canidae. The record is from RNAcentral.